CAAACUCGUCGAGUGUCAGAGUGUUUAUGCACGAGAAGGUGAUGCUGUCCGUUGGCAGUUGGAAGAUACGCCAAGUAUCGCGCCAAGGGUGUCAAACAUGAAGGGUGAUACAUUUUAAAUGUAGCAGAUGCGUCGCAUGCGUUGCGUUGGAAAUGAUGACAAAUGUUGGAAAUGUUGAAAUUGUCUGCUAUUUCCCAGCGUCAACAGUGAAGUCUCAAGUGUAAAAGUUGCAUCUUUAAAAGCUCAGACAGCCAGUAGGAGAAAUCCAAACUGAAACAAUUAUUGCCCUAUUGUUGGGUGAUAUCAACUUCGCUGGUGGACCAUACAAUGUUCAACGAAGUGCACGAAGGGAUGCAUAUUUAGAUAGAUACGAAGCCAUCGCAAUUUGGAUUCCCAGUAUAGUGCGCACAUCCUUUCUGGAUUCUCCAUAUCACAGCGACAGUUUGCCUAGGCAGCAACCAUUGUGUCAAUCUUAAAAGCAUAGGCUCUUAGUUUGAGUAUAUAAAUAUGCAAGGAUUAUGCUUCUGAUGACACUUUGACGUGAGCUGAAACUCGCACCAAACGACCAUGUUGCGUGUACGGGAGAAAACUCGAGAUGUGGACUAUAAAUUUGCCAGCUUUAGAGCGUCCCGAAAUGCAUUGUAUGACAUAAAUGCACCACUUUAGCUGUAGGUGCCUAGAUGGGCAUCUCAAUGUCAGCACAACACCGCAAAAGUGACCAUCCGUUCCAUGAUAACAAACCCAAUGUCAGCCUAUAAGUCAACUAAAGGAAAAUGGGAACUGUUCCACUUUUGAAAAGAAUCUUUCGGUUGCAAGAAGCUUGCAAACACACAUUAAAGGUAAGGGAAUUGCUAAAACAGGUUGAAUGCAUACUGGUGUUUUUAAAAAGCUUAUUUACAGACAAAGAUGAAGAUGUAGAUUAUUGUAAGAUAUGAAAAUUUAAAAUGUAAUGUGCUGAAAUAGUCAUGUA
Molecule: long non-coding RNA, 970 nt
Organism: Anopheles merus
Lineage: Eukaryota; Metazoa; Arthropoda; Insecta; Diptera; Culicidae
Exons: 3
Source: RefSeq, a predicted model, not a curated record